UACAGAGGUCUCAAGCGUUGUUCGGAUUCAUUGGGCGUAAAGGGUGCGUAGGUGGCGGUAGUAGUGGAGUGUGAAAUUUCGGAGCUUAACUCCGAAACUGCAUUCGAUACUGCCGUGCUUGAGGACUGGAGAGGAGACUGGAAUUUACGGUGUAGCAGUGAAAUGCGUAGAGAUCGUAAGGAAGACCAGUGGCGAAGGCGGGUCUCUGGACAGUUCCUGACGCUGAGGCACGAAGGUCAGGGGAGCAAACGGG
Molecule: ribosomal RNA, 253 nt
Filed under: uncultured bacterium
Lineage: Bacteria
Description: partial 16S ribosomal RNA
Rfam family: Bacterial small subunit ribosomal RNA
Source: RNAcentral